ACACGGAGCUUGCUCUGUGGGAUCAGUGGCGAACGGGUGAGUAACACGUGAGCAACCUGCCCCUGACUCUGGGAUAAGCGCUGGAAACGGCGUCUAAUACUGGAUAUGUGACGUGACCGCAUGGUCUGCGUUUGGAAAGAUUUUUCGGUUGGGGAUGGGCUCGCGGCCUAUCAGCUUGUUGGUGAGGUAAUGGCUCACCAAGGCGUCGACGGGUAGCCGGCCUGAGAGGGUGACCGGCCACACUGGGACUGAGACACGGCCCAGACUCCUACGGGAGGCAGCAGUGGGGAAUAUUGCACAAUGGGCGGAAGCCUGAUGCAGCAACGCCGCGUGAGGGAUGACGGCCUUCGGGUUGUAAACCUCUUUUAGCAGGGAAGAAGCGAAAGUGACGGUACCUGCAGAAAAAGCGCCGGCUAACUACGUGCCAGCAGCCGCGGUAAUACGUAGGGCGCAAGCGUUAUCCGGAAUUAUUGGGCGUAAAGAGCUCGUAGGCGGUUUGUCGCGUCUGCUGUGAAAUCCCGAGGCUCAACCUCGGGCCUGCAGUGGGUACGGGCAGACUAGAGUGCGGGUAGGGGAGAUUGGAAUUCCUGGUGUAGCGGUGGAAUGCGCAGAUAUCAGGAGGAACACCGAUGGCGAAGGCAGAUCUCUGGGCCGUAACUGACGCUGAGGAGCGAAAGGGGUGGGGAGCAAACAGGCUUAAGAUACCCUGGUAGUCCACCCCGUA
RNAcentral lists this ribosomal RNA (724 nucleotides) under Brevibacillus agri. Its description in RNAcentral is "bacterial SSU rRNA". It matches the Rfam family "Bacterial small subunit ribosomal RNA", at positions 71 to 804 of the family's 1533-position model. Lineage: Bacteria; Bacillati; Bacillota; Bacilli; Caryophanales; Paenibacillaceae. The record is from RNAcentral.